GUGGCUGUAGCUCAGUUGGUAGAGUAGCAGACUGUGACUCUGUUCGUCGCGGGUUCGAACCCCGUCAGCCACCCCA
RNAcentral lists this transfer RNA (76 nucleotides) under Candidatus Altimarinota bacterium. RNAcentral describes it as "tRNA-His". It matches the Rfam family "tRNA". Rfam says of the family: Transfer RNA (tRNA) molecules are approximately 80 nucleotides in length. Their secondary structure includes four short double-helical elements and three loops (D, anti-codon, and T loops). Further hydrogen bonds mediate the characteristic L-shaped molecular structure. tRNAs have two regions of fundamental functional importance: the anti-codon, which is responsible for specific mRNA codon recognition, and the 3' end, to which the tRNAs corresponding amino acid is attached (by aminoacyl-tRNA synthetases). tRNAs cope with the degeneracy of the genetic code in two manners: having more than one tRNA (with a specific anti-codon) for a particular amino acid; and 'wobble' base-pairing, i.e. permitting non-standard base-pairing at the 3rd anti-codon position. Lineage: Bacteria; Candidatus Altimarinota. The record is from RNAcentral.